CCGGCUCGUCCCUUUUUCAUGUUUUUUUCUUGUUCCUGCUUUCCGUCCUUGUAGGGUUAAGCUAUCUUUUUUCUCGAGGGUAAUAUGAGGGGGUUUCCCCCCUCUUUGCGAAGGCAUUUUGAUGGUUUUUUUCCCCUAAAUUUUAACCCAAAGGACUUGGCGGUGCACUAAUCCCCCCAGGGGAACCUGGCCCUUAAUUCGAUGAUCCACGAACCUCUUACCUUUUCUAGUUUUGCUUAUCUUUGCAAGAAGUAAACAAAGAUCAGCUCGCAUACCGCCGUUUCGUAGCUUGUAUCGUGAGAGGACAUAAACAGGCGCCCUAGUGGCCCGUAUAAAAAUAAAUAAGGGUUUCUCUAAUAAUUCAGGUAAACGUGUGGCCUAUAGAAAGGGGGUGCUGGGUUACAAUUGGGGUUUAUAAUGGCGUGGCUGCCUUAAGGGCAAGACAAAAGAGGACUUGGAAGUAAUAGCCUUGGACAAUGAGGCUGUGAAUACUGCUCUAGUGUGUGUACAAAUCGCCCGUCACUCUCUGA
RNAcentral lists this ribosomal RNA (530 nucleotides) under Lottia cf. borealis 30_KurGor. Its description in RNAcentral is "partial small subunit ribosomal RNA". The stretch from base 78 to 530 matches the Rfam family "Microsporidia small subunit ribosomal RNA", at positions 752 to 1209 of the family's 1311-position model. The record is from RNAcentral. Lineage: Eukaryota; Metazoa; Mollusca; Gastropoda; Lottiidae.